UCCCUAGUGGCUCAGACGGUAAAGCGUCUGUCUGCAAUGCAGGAGAACUGGGUUGAAUCCCUGGGUUGGGAA
Molecule: transfer RNA, 72 nt
Filed under: Bos taurus (domestic cattle)
Lineage: Eukaryota; Metazoa; Chordata; Mammalia; Artiodactyla; Bovidae
Also listed under: 5 other names
Rfam family: tRNA
About the family: Transfer RNA (tRNA) molecules are approximately 80 nucleotides in length.
Source: Rfam by way of RNAcentral